AGACAAUUAUUUUAUUUGCUGAGCAUUAUUUACCCUUAACUUUACCUAAUUACUAAUCUCAUUUUGUUUCCCCUUUUUGAAAUAAUCUUUUAACCCUUUAGCAUUCAGAUUACUCUGUUAAAUGUAAUAUUUUUUUACUCAAAUUGUUUUGAAUUCAUCAAGCAUUAUCUUAUAGCUUUGGGGUUUCAAUGAUGUGAUUGCUUAUUUUUAGAAUGUCAAUGUAGGUUAGGUGUGAGAGGUUAGAUAUCGCCAGUUUGAAUAUGAAACAUAGAAUAUUUGGGCCGGUUUAAACACUAAAGGGUCAAAGCUCAAUACUUUUCCUGAUGCCAGCUGUUUAAUCACCUUUUACAUGACGUACUCAAGACAUGUGUUGUAAAACCAAGAUACACGCAGUGUUUGUCAAAGGAAAGAAAAUAUAAUGUUAUUUUACAUAUAACUACUACUAUGACAACAUGAGUGUGGUAACUUACUGCUGUAAUAUUUCUAAUAAAAAUCAUUUAUUCAC
RNAcentral lists this long non-coding RNA (505 nucleotides) under Octopus vulgaris (common octopus). The record is from RNAcentral. Lineage: Eukaryota; Metazoa; Mollusca; Cephalopoda; Octopoda; Octopodidae.